Molecule: ribosomal RNA, 245 nt
Filed under: uncultured bacterium
Lineage: Bacteria
Description: partial 16S ribosomal RNA
Rfam family: Bacterial small subunit ribosomal RNA
Source: RNAcentral
UACAGAGGUCCCAAGCGUUGUUCGGAUUCACUGGGCGUAAGGGGUGCGUAGGUGGCUAGGUAAGUCGGAUGUGAAAUCUCGGAGCUCAACUCCGAAAUGGCAUUGGAAACUGCCUGGCUCGAGGGUUGGAGGGGGGACUGGAAUACUUGGUGUAGCAGUGAAAUGCGUAGAUAUCAAGUGGAACACCAGUGGCGAAGGCGAGUCCCUGGACAACUCCUGACACUGAGGCACGAAAGCUAGGGGAG